Molecule: long non-coding RNA, 399 nt
Organism: Olea europaea var. sylvestris
Lineage: Eukaryota; Viridiplantae; Streptophyta; Magnoliopsida; Lamiales; Oleaceae
Exons: 2
Source: RefSeq, a predicted model, not a curated record
GCGUAAGUUGUUAUAAUUACAUUUAUUAUAUCAUGGCACAUGUAGGAUGUUUGAUAAAUAAAUGAGAAUGUUGCAUUCCCAAAUGUCUGAUGCACAAUUUGAUGGUUUACAGGAAGAACGUUUUUCAUGUUGGUUAAAGGAAUAUGAAACAUUUGACCUGUUUAUGGAGAAGGGAGUAAUGGCCAGGCUAGACAAAAAGCUAGGUGAUGUGUUGGUUCAAGAGACAUAGUGCUAAUGUAUACAAACUCAACUUUUAGUGAAUGUGCCCCUUCUUAAUUUGGAAGGUGGGGUUUAUAUAUCUAUGUUCAAUAGAUUUGACCCUUAACAUCUGUUGGAUGAGAUUGAAUUUUUUUUAUAUUUUUGUUUUCUUUCAAUCUGAAAUGUAUUGAGUGCUGCUCA